Molecule: long non-coding RNA, 202 nt
Filed under: Mytilus galloprovincialis (Mediterranean mussel)
Lineage: Eukaryota; Metazoa; Mollusca; Bivalvia; Mytilida; Mytilidae
Source: RNAcentral
CAAAUUCGCUUUACUGUCCAAACGACGUUAACUUUUAAUUCGUAUUCACAAAAGCGUAUUUCUAAUGCGAAUUAGAUAAUUCGAAUUAGCCAAUUCAAAUCAAUUCGAAUUAAAAAAGAAGAGUGUGUGAACGCGAUUUGCGAAUUCGAUUCGCAUUCGAUUCGAAUUUAAUUCGAAUUAAAUGUACGUGUGAACGAGGCAU